GUGAGUCAUCGAAUCUUUGAACGCACAUUGCGCCCGGUGGUAUUCCGCCGGGCAUGCCUGUUCGAGCGUCAUUUAAACCAAUCCAGCCUCGUGCUUGGGUCUUGGGCCUUUCGCCUCUGGGCGGGCCUUAAAAUCAGUGGCGGUGCCAUUUGGCUCUAAGCGUAGUAAUACUCCUCGCUAUAGACGUCUAGUGGUGUCUUGCCAACAACCCCCAAUUUUUACAGGUUGACCUCGGAUCAGGUAGGGAUACCCGCUGAACUUAAGCAUAUCAAUAAGCGGAGGA
RNAcentral lists this unclassified non-coding RNA (283 nucleotides) under Helotiales sp. RNAcentral's name for it is "partial contains 5.8S ribosomal RNA, internal transcribed spacer 2, and large subunit ribosomal RNA". The stretch from base 1 to 71 matches the Rfam family "5.8S ribosomal RNA", at positions 84 to 154 of the family's 154-position model. Lineage: Eukaryota; Fungi; Ascomycota; Leotiomycetes; Helotiales. The record is from RNAcentral.